RNAcentral lists this ribosomal RNA (492 nucleotides) under uncultured bacterium. Its description in RNAcentral is "partial 16S ribosomal RNA". It matches the Rfam family "Bacterial small subunit ribosomal RNA", at positions 29 to 507 of the family's 1533-position model. The record is from RNAcentral.
AGUGAACGCUGGCGGUAGGCCUAACACAUGCAAGUCGAACGGCAGCACAGUAAGAGCUUGCUCUUACGGGUGGCGAGUGGCGGACGGGUGCGGAAUACAUCGGAAUCUACUUUUUCGUGGGGGAUAACGUAGGGAAACUUACGCUCAUACCGCAUACGACCUACGGGUGAAAGCAGGGGAUCUUUGGACCUUGCGCGAUUGAAUGAGCCGAUGUCGGAUUAGCUAGUUGGCGGGGUAAAGGCCCACCAAGGCGACGAUCCGUAGCUGGUCUGAGAGGAUGAUCAGCCACACUGGAACUGAGACACGGUCCAGACUCCUACGGGAGGCAGCAGUGGGGAAUAUUGGACAAUGGGCGCAAGCCUGAUCCAGCCAUACCGCGUGGGUGAAGAAGGCCUUCGGGUUGUAAAGCCCUUUUGUUGGGAAAGAAAAGCAGCAGGUUAAUACCCCGCUGUUCUGACGGUACCCAAAGAAUAAGCACCGGCUAACUUCGUG